UGGAGAGUUUGAUCCUGGCUCAGAUUGAACGCUGGCGGCAGGCCUAACACAUGCAAGUCGAACGGUAACAGAGAGCAGCUUGCUGCUCUGCUGACGAGUGGCGGACGGGUGAGUAAUGUCUGGGAAACUGCCUGAUGGAGGGGGAUAACUACUGGAAACGGUAGCUAAUACCGCAUAACGUCUUCGGACCAAAGUGGGGGACCUUCGGGCCUCAUGCCAUCAGAUGUGCCCAGAUGGGAUUAGCUAGUAGGUGGGGUAACGGCUCACCUAGGCGACGAUCCCUAGCUGGUCUGAGAGGAUGACCAGCCACACUGGAACUGAGACACGGUCCAGACUCCUACGGGAGGCAGCAGUGGGGAAUAUUGCACAAUGGGCGCAAGCCUGAUGCAGCCAUGCCGCGUGUAUGAAGAAGGCCUUCGGGUUGUAAAGUACUUUCAGCGGGGAGGAAGGCGUUGUGGUUAAUAACCGCAGCGAUUGACGUUACCCGCAGAAGAAGCACCGGCUAACUCCGUGCCAGCAGCCGCGGUA
This 528-nucleotide ribosomal RNA is filed under the name Cronobacter sakazakii. Its description in RNAcentral is "bacterial SSU rRNA". It matches the Rfam family "Bacterial small subunit ribosomal RNA", at positions 1 to 522 of the family's 1533-position model. Lineage: Bacteria; Pseudomonadati; Pseudomonadota; Gammaproteobacteria; Enterobacterales; Enterobacteriaceae. The record is from RNAcentral.